AUUGAACGCUGGCGGCAUGCCUAACACAUGCAAGUCGAACGGUAACGCGGGGGCAACCCUGGCGACGAGUGGCGGACGGGUGAGUAAUACGUAGGAAUCUGCCCAUUUGUGGGGGAUAACCAGGCGAAAGCAGGGCUAAUACAGCAUACGCUCUACGGCGGAAAGCGGGGGAUCGUAAGACCUCGCGCUAAUGGAUGAGCCUACGUCGGAUUAGCUAGUUGGUAGGGUAACGGCCUACCAAGGCGACGAUCGGUAGCUGGUCUGAGAGGACGAGCAGCCACACUGGGACUAAGACACGGCCCAGACUCCUACGGGAGGCAGCAGUGGGGAAUAUUGGACAAUGGGGGAAACCCUGAUCCAGCAAUGCCGCGUGGGGGAAGAAGGCCUGCGGGUUGUAAAGCACUUUCAGAGGGGAAGAAAAAAUCGGAUCUAACACAUCCGAGCUUGACGUUACCCUUAGAAGAAGCACCGGCUAACUCCGUGCCAGCCGCCGCAGUAA
Molecule: ribosomal RNA, 499 nt
Filed under: uncultured bacterium
Lineage: Bacteria
Description: partial 16S ribosomal RNA
Rfam family: Bacterial small subunit ribosomal RNA
Source: RNAcentral